AUCUUUGCCCCUCCUGCACCAGUGGUUUCACCCAUAGGCCUGGUUUCAGUAAAAUCUCAUCCAGCCUGGUGUGGAUCCCUCCACCAAGUCCUCCCUGCCUGCAGCUCCCAAAAGCCUCACCCUGAAUCUGACAGGGUCGUCAUCUCUAUGGGUCAGGACUGAAGAGUUGACUCAGCUCCAUCCAUUCUCCAUGGGAGGACAUUGCAAUUCAGGCUGAGUCCAAGUGCUUUAAACCUCUAAGCCCAUCAUUGUUUUUCCUUAUGCGGAAUUCCUGAUCUUGCUAAUUUGGUAAACCUUUGAGUUAAACAGGUUUUGUUUUAAAAUCUUGGGGAAGGGGUGUCAAUAUGCUACUGAAAAUCACGUGCUAAUUGCACUGGUUUAAACAAGCAUAGAAUGGCAGGCAGGCACUGUAGAGGCCUCAUACAUAUAGGCAUGAACUGCACCUCCUGUUGUUUGUCCUACAGCGGUCUCAAAUCCUGCUGAGCUGUAUGCCGUCUUUCUGCUGUGAAAAAACGGGGACUCGCUCGCUACUGGAUACUGAUUCGAGGCAGUUGCUGCAACAGCUGCCACCCCCACCAUCUCCUGGGACCCCAGACUUCAUCCUAAUUCUGAGAGCUGUCCUGACCAGACCAGGAGAGGGACCCAGAUGACACCGUCACCUCCACUGGCUGAAAUCUGAACACCAGCAUGUCUCCAGUCCUAUGCUCCUGUUUACAUCAAGUACUAGACAACGCUGACAAGCAAAACAACUUUCAAGGUAGUCCUUGACUGAAAAGGUUGAUUUUCUUCAGUGCAUCCAAAUGUUAGUGUCUUCCAUACCAGAGGCAGUGACAUUAGAAGCUAAGAAGCGUCUUGGCUAACCUUUCUCUUGCUCUAGCACCUUCCCCUGAAGUAUCUGGUACUGGCCAUUGUUGGAGUCAGGAAAUGACUAGAUGGACCUCAGGUCUGAUCCACUAGGACCAUUCCUAUGAAAAGCAGUGAGGCUGAAGAGAGCAGAGUAUUGAUGGCACUGAAGAGACAGAAAAGGAUCCUGCUAGCCAUGACGAGUUCUCCAGCUACAUUCGGUCUGUGGUUCCACUGAAGAAUAUUUAUGGGUAGGGCACUUAAAUCACCUGCUCUUCUCAAUCAGCUUCUGCUCCAUCAAUAUCUACAAGGAGCUCUAAGUUACCAAAGGAAAAGGAUGAUGGAACAAUAAGCGGGACUAAGCAAAAGCUUGAUGAAUAACUUCAUUUAGUUUGUGCUUUGGAAAAUAGUUUCUGGCACUACCCAAAAUUAAUGUAUUAUUAAAGGCUCUGCCUUAUGCCAAGUGAGUCUUUUAUUCUUGGCAUAUGUAGAGAUCAUCAAGGACAAGACAGUGUUUUGCUGAGGUUUUGUUAAAGUAAUAAGUAAAGGUAACUGUUAUAGUUAUUGCCAGAGUAUUAAAACUAACUGGGAACAGAUAUCUAAUAAUGUUGGACAAUAGGGGCAAACUGCAUGGGAAAGGAAAACUAGGGUAUGUCAUGAAAUAAAGGAAUGUGGUAACAGAC
This is a long non-coding RNA of Malaclemys terrapin pileata, 1526 nucleotides long. RefSeq lists it as uncharacterized. NCBI's taxonomy places the organism in Eukaryota, Metazoa, Chordata, Testudines, Emydidae. The transcript is spliced from 3 exons. The record is from RefSeq and is a predicted model, not a curated record.